GACGAAUGCUAUAUCCUUUCUAGGCUGGUCUUCACUCAUCUGCUGUACCUACCACUUUCUGCUUUGGGAAUGCUGAGUGACUUUACCCUGUAGAACCUGGGCCCAUCUGAAAGAGGAAGGGAUGAAUGCCAGCUGGGUUGGCUGGCUGAAUGAGUGUGUUGCAUGGGUGGAACAUUGUUCACAUGCCUCAACACUUUCUGCGACUGGUCAGCUUGGUAGCAUUCAUUCUAGCAGUGGUCAGUCUACUCCUCUCCUUGAAGCAGAAUGGGAGAGUGUGGAGGAAGGCAGGAGCAGAAGCAAUCUGGAAAUAUGCUUCCAAAUGGGUAAAAAUAAACAAAGAUUCAGACAUCUCAGCAAAACUGGAAGCCAAGAAAUCAAAAGAAACCUUCGGACAACUGGAAAAAGCUUGAUCCUUGUAAGAAGCAAGCUCAUGUGUGUGCCCCAGUAGGAGUGGGGGGGAGGGGGGAGAGACCAAAGGGCUUUGACCCUGUGGCCCUCCGCAUCACAGGUGUUCCGAGCAUCUGUGGACAAAGCUGAAGCUGGAAGGAAGCAGAAUGUACCCAUCAAAGCUCUUCCCAUCACCGCCAUUUAUUAAAGAGAGGCAGU
RNAcentral lists this long non-coding RNA (606 nucleotides) under Mus caroli (Ryukyu mouse). RNAcentral describes it as "RIKEN cDNA 4930449E01 gene (MGP_CAROLIEiJ_G0013415.1)". The record is from RNAcentral. Lineage: Eukaryota; Metazoa; Chordata; Mammalia; Rodentia; Muridae.